Molecule: long non-coding RNA, 5219 nt
Filed under: Panax ginseng (ginseng)
Lineage: Eukaryota; Viridiplantae; Streptophyta; Magnoliopsida; Apiales; Araliaceae
Description: long non-coding RNA (PGIN_LNC016004)
Source: RNAcentral
CCUUUUUCAGGCUCAGCACCAUAUGACAUGGCUUUCUCCUCGCGCAAUCUAGCUAAUGAAGCUUCUUUCUCAGCAGCUUCACGAGCCUCUUCUUCCUCCUUCAACUUCCUCUCAGCUUCAGCAGCUUACCUUUCCAGCCUUUCUUGCUCUUCCUUCCUAAGACAUUCCCUGGCCUGAUAUGGCAGGAUACAUUGACAGCAAAAAAACAAUAAAAACUCAACACAUUCCUAUAAAACGUAAAGUUGUGAUACGGAGCAGAGGAAGCAUAUUAUCUGACCAAACGACAAAAGCAUAUUAACAAAAUUAAUAACAUAUUACAAGUGAGAUUAUAAAAUAGAAAAAUGAGAUAUAUGAACAAGUAUAUAUGUUAACUUACAUUACCAUUUGCCACUCUUUCUUUUUCUUCAAGUUCCUCUGCCUUGUUUCCUCAAGAAGAGCUCCUUGGCUUGAGCUUCUACAGGCUGUUUGAGUAAACUUAAAUCAAGUAAACAACUCUACGAAUUCUGAUCAAAUAAGGGAAAUCAAUUCUAAACAAACUUAACUUGAGGUAAACCUAAUAUGUAUCACCCAACAGCUAGGGAAUUAUAUCUCAAUUCAAUACAUUGCUUAUAAACUCUCAAUCCACAUAAAUAUGGCCUAGGGCAUCAACAUUCCUUGUAAACUCUUACCAACAUGUCCUGAUAGGAUGUGUAAAAUAUUACAACUGCCGAAAUACUAGUAGAAAUAUCUAUUUGGCGAAUGAUGGUGAUAUUUCUUUUGGUAAUCUGAUUCGGGGACAAACUGGUGCGAUAACAAAGAACUCUGCAGACGCCAUCCUUCAGGCUCCUUUAGGUACUGUUUUGAGUGUAUGUAAUCCUGGAUACUCAUGACCAACUUGGUCAGCCUUGGAUCUUCCCGUUGACCAAGUGCAUUAAGAAAGUUGCGAGAAAUGAUAUUCAACAACUUCUUAAACUGUGAUCUAUAUAUACCAAUUUUUCUUCUUGAACCAAAAUUAUAAAAAAUAUAAAAGAAUGUGUCAGCCAUAACAAUUGUCAAUAGUUACGACUGAUCAAUCCGAGACAUGAGCAAAGGUAAAAGAAUAUGUUGGCCUUAACAAUGGUUAUUAGUUGAAGAGUUGAGCUCGAACAGUAAAGAAUGAUGGAUAAUUACCAUGCUCAGACAUGCUGACCUGCACCAGGGAAAUAUUAACUACCCAUGUGCCACAGUGUUGUUAAGCAAGUGACUAUUUUCCAGAAACAACAAAAGGAAAAUGCAGCCAAGCUUACCUGAAGAACAGUCGAUAUCCAGUAAAACCAAAUAAAAAGGACAAUGUAUACCUUUUCAUUGUUCCCAUAGUUGAUAUACCUAUGUAAUUAUUUUGAGCAUGCUCUUGAUCUUAGAAAUUAAAUACGAUUCUCAUAAACAAAAGGACUUGUUUCUCAAGAGAAUCUAACAAAGACUUGUAUACACUAGAAACCAUCUUUAUUCACAACUAUGUUUAAGGUAGCCUGGAGCUUCUCUCAAGAAAAUAAUGAGUUAGCAGCACCCAAAAAACUGCAUUAUUGCUAAAAAUAUUAAAACAAGCUAUUCAUAAGAAGAAAAUAAAUAACGGAAAAGCUUGGAAAAGGUAAAGAACUAAAGAUUGCAGAGAAGAUCAAAUUUUUUUUAUGAUUCUUUCUUUUUCACUCCUUUUAUGUUAUAUAUGAAAAUAAAAAAUUAAUGAAACAUGAACGUGGGAGGGAGACAGACAUAUAAACAUUAGAAGUACCCUACUACCCUUUAAAAACUCAACUUUUGUUCAUUUUGUUUCUUUUGACAAAUUAUAGAGGGAAAAAGAAAGCGGGAAAUGAAGUAAUAUAUUUUUGGGUGAUUAAUAUUUACUAAAAUGGGUGUUUGACUGCCAAAAAGUGCAGAAUCUUCCCAUAGUGAACAUCAAAGAAUGUGUUAAAUAUAAUUUAAGAAUGAAAACUAUUAUUUCCACAUGUUAAAAUGAUAUUUCCAUAUGAGUCUCUCAUAUAGAGGUGGGACACACUCACUAUUAAUGUGAGAGGGAUCAUGUGGAAAUAUCAAUUUUUUUAUGUGGAAAUAUUUGUUCCCUUUAAGAAUUAAGACACAUAUAAAGGUCCUUUUUUGGGAAGUGAUGCUACUAGUACUAAUGAAGAAGGGCAGAGCAUGGGGAAGUGUGGUCGGUGCCAAAUAACACGAGGGAGGGACACAAAAUAAUAUAUUGGUGAAUAAAGAAAGGCCUUGAGCGCCAAUUUAAAAUUUGAAAUUUUGGGUAAACUUAUAUACUCCUAUCCCUUUACACAUCUCCCUUUAAUUUUGAAAUUUUGAAUAAAUUUACCGUAUCUUAAUUUUUUUACAGUUCCGUUAUUUUCAUUGCAAUUUCGUUACUUUUCUUACAACUCCGUCACAUAAUGCACAUUAAAACAGAUUCAUAAGAAUUUCAUAUAAAAAUGAAAAUUUGCAUGUAACUCAUAACAAUAAGUUCUGAAAAACUUGCCUUAAAUGUCCUGUAUAACUUCACGCUAAUGCGCCCUUCCAACGUCUUGAAUAGCUUGCUCAAAAGCACAAAACAUCCCAAGUAAUUCUUGAACUUGUUUUAUUGAAUAGGGGAUGUUGACUCAUGUCAAUUAAAUAGAUUACAGGAAGGCAAGAGUCUAUUAUUAUCUUUCAUGAUGAAUCUCAGAACACUUAUCAAGUAUAGUCUAGCCGAACUCGAAUAACAUAAGUUGUCAAUAUAAAUUCACGAAACAAAAGAAACUUCAAUAAUAUUUAGAUAAUGAAUUCAUAAGGGAAUUAUAAAUUCAAGAUACAAAUUAUUCAUUUCAAGCUUCAAAAGAAACUUUGAUCCAAGAUUUCUACUCAAAGAAGAAAGUUAGUAUAUUGCAAUAAGGCUUGUCAUUGAAUAAAGUUUUUCAACGAGAUGUUAAUUAUGGAGGAAAGUUGAAAUACUUGCCUUCGUGGUGCAAAACUAUUGAUUCUACGCGAUUACGUGAAUCCGAAAUAUUAUGUUCUUGAAAACCACCUAUUUUACACACAUAAGGUCAUUACUAGAUAUAAUACAACCACUAUAUUUCACAAAUUCCUUUUAAACUUGUGUUUUUUUUGUCAUAUUUAAACAACUCACUUUAAUUACUAUAUUUCUUAAAUUUAUUCCUAAUAUUAUAUAUUAAUUACAAUUAAUAUAUCAACUUUUAUGCAUUUAUCAAUUUGCUUCCACCUUACAUGAACUAACUGUCAAGAUGACUACAACAGAAGCAAAACAGUCAACAAGCAGGCCAGGCCAGGCCGCGCUGCAGCAGCUACCCAGCACUGCCCUGCAACCGAGCCUCAACAGCUCUCCUUUGCUAAUUUUUAUCGUACAACUCACAUCAUUAAAUGCAACCAAACCUUUAACAGGUUAUAAUAGGCAUGAUGUAGUAUUUUUAUAAAUUGUAACUCAGCUGAAAUGGACACUCUAAGACAGGCAAAUCAGGUGCCAAAGCUGCCCAGUUGAGACUGUUCAGCGCAGCGCACGGCUGCUGCUGUUGCUGCUACUACUGCUCCAAUGCCAAGUUGCUAGUUUUGUUAUUUUAUAAUUCACAAACCAUAUAUCCAAUCAAAGUCAAUUUCUAAUAUGCUAUAACUGGUAUAGCAAGCUAUUUUUAGAAAAAAUAAAAUAGCUAAAAUGAUCAGUUUAGAUGGAUUUUAGGGAGCUCUGAAACAGCUCUGCCGAAACAGUUUCGAAGCUAUGAACCAAUAUGAUUUUUACUUUAAAACAGACUUCCAGCCACACUUAGCUUAUGCAAAACAUUCCAUGUAUACUCUAUAACAUAUAUGAAGGAUACCUUACUCACUACCGUACCUCAAUUGCUCAUUUUGGUCUUAACAGUUCUAUGAAGCAUACAAUCAAACAUGUCAUAGGCACAAGCUUUAUGGACAGACUUCAUAAACCUUUGCACAUGUUUUAAACCACAUUCUCCUCCCUUAUUUCUCCUCAUAACAACAACUAAACUCCAUCUAACAUACAACCCAAUUAGCACAGUUAUAAUACUCUAAAUUUUAUAUAAAACAAUUAAUUUUUGCUUCAAAAAUCAAGAUUUUAAAACUUACCUUGCGUUAACAGUUUAAUAACCUGAAUUGACACUUCUGAUUCAGUUAGAACCCUUUCUUUUUGCUGCCCUGCUAUCCAAAUUAUCCAGCUCAGUUUACAUUUAAACUAUCUUGCUCCAUUCCUUGCUCAAUUUGCUAGUUUAGUCAACAAAGAAGAGAAGUUUUGAUAGAAUUUUGGGGUGCAGAAAUUCGGUUAUCAAGAGGGAGAAGAAAUAGAUUAAAGAUGAUAGGAGAACACUUGUGCUUGGUAAGUUCAGAGGAUUUAUGAUGCAGUGAACGGAACAGAUUUUUUUUUAAUCUCAAUCAUUGCUUAAUGCACUGUUAGUACAUUACUUUCUUGCCAACUCAUGCUUUAUAUUGGCUUAGUAGCUUAGUUAUUCUCCCUAAGAACGACGGCAAAACCUUAAUAAGUAGUAGGAUACCGCGAACAAGGAGCAAAACUUUUAGUCAUACUCUAAGUAAAUUCUCUUUAAGAUAAUAAAAUAUUUCUAGUCAGAUUGUGUUAUAAGAGGUUAAAUUCCAAUUUAUCCUUCAUGAAGUGAUAGAUUAUCACUUUUAUUGUCAGAUCAUACCCUCAUGAAGUGGAUAACAUCACAACAAGACUUGAAUCAUGUCUCAGUAUCCUAAUGGCACCCUUGAUAUCAAGUUAACGCAUUACUCUGCAAAGUGCUUCGAGCUCACACGCAACAUAAAACAAGAAUCGCGUUAUGGCUAGAGGUCUUUAAUGCUAUUAGUUAAUCAUGUGGUGUUCAUGUUGAUUCAUAUUUAUCUGAUCAUGUCGUGUUUGAUAUGAACCAACGUUACAUGACACGAUUGACAACCAUACUAACAGCCUCAAUAUUAAUGAUAGGAAAAUAUUGGAAGAAAACAGAGCGCAGACUUUAUACCAAGAGCAUGACCCUGAACUUAACUGAGUAAGAUAGUGAUCCAAUAGCAGGACAACAGGAGCACAAGUUUUGAAACAUGGUUGAUUGAAAAUGUUUUCAGGUGAUAAUGUAAGACGACCGUCAAGACUAAAGCUACAAAGUGUCCAGGGAAAAGGUGACAAGCAACGUGGAGCUAAUUUCAGUCUCCAGGCAGAAGCUGAAGACUGUUAAUAUCUUGGGCAGACAACGGUCAAAGCGAGCCCUUUCUUAAUUCUUUAA